Molecule: ribosomal RNA, 479 nt
Filed under: uncultured bacterium
Lineage: Bacteria
Description: partial 16S ribosomal RNA
Rfam family: Bacterial small subunit ribosomal RNA
Source: RNAcentral
GAUGAACGCUAGCGGGAGGCCUAACACAUGCAAGCCGAGCGGUAUUUGUUCUUCGGAACAGAGAGAGCGGCGCACGGGUGCGGAACACGUGUGCAACCUGCCUUUAUCUGGGGGAUAGCCUUUCGAAAGGCAGAUUAAUACCCCAUAAUAUAUUGAGUGGCAUCAUUUGAUAUUGAAAACUCCGGUGGAUAGAGAUGGGCACGCGCAAGAUUAGAUAGUUGGUGAGGUAACGGCUCACCAAGUCAAUGAUCUUUAGGGGGCCUGAGAGGGUGGUCCCCCACACUGGUACAGAGACACGGACCAGACUCCUACGGGAGGCAGCAGUGAGGGAUAUUGGACUAUGGGUUAGCGCAUUAUCCUGCCAACCCGCGUGAAGGACGGCCGCCCUAUGGGUUGUAAACUUCUUUUGUAUAGCGAUAAACCUACUCUCGUGAGAGUAGCUGAAGGUACUAUACGAAUAAGCACCGGCUAACUCCGUG